RNAcentral lists this ribosomal RNA (525 nucleotides) under Streptomyces purpurogeneiscleroticus. RNAcentral describes it as "bacterial LSU rRNA". It matches the Rfam family "Bacterial large subunit ribosomal RNA", at positions 2217 to 2741 of the family's 2925-position model. The record is from RNAcentral. Lineage: Bacteria; Bacillati; Actinomycetota; Actinomycetes; Kitasatosporales; Streptomycetaceae.
GGUAUCUAACUUGCGGCCCUGAUCGGGUCGAGGGACAGUGUCUGGUGGGUAGUUUAACUGGGGCGGUUGCCUCCUAAAGGGUAACGGAGGCGCCCAAAGGUUCCCUCAGCCUGGUUGGCAAUCAGGUGUUGAGUGUAAGUGCAUAAGGGAGCUUGACUGUGAGACUGACGGGUCGAGCAGGGACGAAAGUCGGGACUAGUGAUCCGGCACUUGCGUGUGGAAGCGGUGUCGCUCAACGGAUAAAAGGUACCCCGGGGAUAACAGGCUGAUCUUCCCCAAGAGUCCAUAUCGACGGGAUGGUUUGGCACCUCGAUGUCGGCUCGUCGCAUCCUGGGGCUGUAGCAGGUCCCAAGGGUUGGGCUGUUCGCCCAUUAAAGCGGUACGCGAGCUGGGUUUAGAACGUCGUGAGACAGUUCGGUCCCUAUCCGCCGUGCGCGUUGGAUACUUGAGAAGGGCUGUCCCUAGUACGAGAGGACCGGGACGGACGAACCUCUGGUGUGCCAGUUGUUCUGCCAAGGGCACGGC